Molecule: ribosomal RNA, 460 nt
Filed under: uncultured bacterium
Lineage: Bacteria
Description: partial 16S ribosomal RNA
Rfam family: Bacterial small subunit ribosomal RNA
Source: RNAcentral
CCUACGGGGAGCAGCAGUGAGGAAUAUUGGUCAAUGGACGAGAGUCUGAACCAGCUAAGUAGCGUGAAGGAUGACUGCCCUAUGGGUUGUAAACUUCUUUUAUAUGGGAAUAAAAUGUUCCACGUGUGGGCUUUUGUAUGUACCAUAUGAAUAAGGAUCGGCUAACUCCGUGCCAGCAGCCGCGGUAAUACGGAGGAUCCGAGCGUUAUCCGGAUUUAUUGGGUUUAAAGGGAGCGUAGGUGGAUUGUUAAGUCAGGUGUGAAAGUUUGCGGCUCAACCGUAAAAUUGCAGUUGAAACUGGCAGUCUUGAGUACAGUAGAGGUGGGCGGAAUUCGUGGUGUAGCGGUGAAAUGCUUAGAUAUCACGAAGAACUCCGAUUGCGAAGGCAGCUCACUGGACUGCAACUGACACUGAGGCUCGAAAGUGUGGGUAUCAAACAGGAUUAGAUACCCGUGUAGUC